GUGCCAGCAGCUGCGGUAAUACGUAUGUCCCAAGCGUUAUCCGGAUUUAUUGGGCGUAAAGCGAGCGCAGGCGGUUAUUUAAGUCUGAUGUGAAAGCCUACGGCUCAACCGUAGAAUUGCAUCGGAAACUGGAUAACUUGAGUGCAGUAGAGGAGAGUGGAACUCCAUGUGUAGCGGUGAAAUGCGUAGAUAUAUGGAAGAACACCAGAGGCGAAGGCGGCUCUCUGGACUGUAACUGACGCUGAGGCUCGAAAGUGUGGGUAGCAAACAGGAUUAGAUACCCUGGUAGUCCACACCGUAAACGAUGAAUGCUAGUUGUUAGAGGGUUUCCGCCCUUUAGUGACGCGGCUAACGCAUUAAGCAUUCCGCUGGGGAGUACGACCGCAAGGUUAGAAACUCAAAGGAAUU
RNAcentral lists this ribosomal RNA (408 nucleotides) under uncultured Weissella sp. RNAcentral's name for it is "bacterial SSU rRNA". It matches the Rfam family "Bacterial small subunit ribosomal RNA", at positions 505 to 911 of the family's 1533-position model. Lineage: Bacteria; Bacillati; Bacillota; Bacilli; Lactobacillales; Lactobacillaceae. The record is from RNAcentral.